CAACAGAACUCUAUGCCCAGUUGAAACUCAAAGUGGUCAAAAGAGAGCCGCUCUGUAUAGCUGGGGAAUGGAGACCCCAGUGACCAACAGGAGAGCGCCCUCCCAGUCCCACGAGACCUUAGCGCUCAGAGGAGCCCAGUGAGAGCACUCCUCCAGGCAGUUUGAAUCUCUCAGGUUGUCAAAGAAAAGGAUUUGCACUUAGACCCUUCAUAUUAUCCCUAAAUUUAUCCUUCCCUCUUUCCCCUCCCCUCAGGGAAAGCUCUGAAAAACUUAAGGAGCACUAUAGCCAAGACGAGUCCUUGAGCAGAGAACUGAUGACCAAGGUCAAACACCAAGGGUAGAGGUCAUCAAGAGAUCAAGUCUAAUCUACCUACGGGUGUGGCAGGCUUAACUAUGGAUGUUCAAGCCAGACAUUGCCAGAAGAACUACAUCUCUUCACCCAUAGAAGAUACAGCCUACAGCUGAAGAGAAACAGAUACGACACCAAUAUCUUAUCCUCUCUGAAGCCAAACUGAGAGCCCCUGGAGUCAGAAGUUUCCAAGAAAAGAAAAAGUCAUCCGUCUUCGGAAAAGAGACAGUAGAG
Diceros bicornis minor is the source of this 583-nucleotide long non-coding RNA. RefSeq lists it as uncharacterized. The transcript has 3 exons. The record is from RefSeq and is a predicted model, not a curated record. Lineage: Eukaryota; Metazoa; Chordata; Mammalia; Perissodactyla; Rhinocerotidae.